ACAGGGAUUGCCCUAGUAACGGCGAGUGAAGCGGCAACAGCUCAAAUUUGAAAUCUGGCCCUAGGCCCGAGUUGUAAUUUGCAGAGGAUGCUUCGGGCGCGGUGCCUUCCAAGUCCCCUGGAACGGGGCGCCGGAGAGGGUGAGAGCCCCGUACGGUUGGCGGCCAAGCCUGUGUGAAGCUCCUUCGACGAGUCGAGUAGUUUGGGAAUGCUGCUCUAAGCGGGAGGUAGACCCCUUCUAAAGCUAAAUAUAGGCCAGAGACCGAUAGCGCACAAGUAGAGUGAUCGAAAGAUGAAAAGCACUUUGAAAAGAGGGUUAAAUAGCACGUGAAAUUGUUGAAAGGGAAGCGCUUGUGACCAGACGUGCGCCGGGGUGUUCAGCGGGCGUUCUCGCCCGUGCACUCGCCUCGGCGCAGGCCAGCGUCGGUUCGAGUGGGAGGAUAAAGGCGUCUGGAAUGUGGCUCCUUCGGGAGUGUUAUAGCCAGACGUGCCAUGCUCCCGCCCGGACCGAGGUACGCGUUCUGCAAGGACGCUGGCGUAAUGGUCUCCAGCGACCCGUCUUGAAACACGGACCAAGGAGUCGAGGUUUUGCGCGAGUGUUUGGGUGUUAAACCCGCACGCGUAAUGAAAGUGAACGUAGGUGGGAGCUUCGGCGCACCACCGACCGAUCCUGAUGUUUUCGGAUGGAUUUGAGUAAGAGCGUAGGGCCUCGGACCCGAAAGAUGGUGAACUAUGCUUGGAUAGGGUGAAGCCAGAGGAAACUCUGGUGGAGGCUCGCAGCGGUUCUGACGUGCAAAUCGAUCGUCAAAUCUGAGCAUGGGGGCGAAAGACUAAUCGAACCAUC
Molecule: ribosomal RNA, 843 nt
Filed under: Chloridium gonytrichii
Lineage: Eukaryota; Fungi; Ascomycota; Sordariomycetes; Chaetosphaeriales; Chaetosphaeriaceae
Description: partial large subunit ribosomal RNA
Rfam family: Eukaryotic large subunit ribosomal RNA
Source: RNAcentral